AGUAAUGCUUGGGAAUCUAGCUUAUGGAGGGGGAUAACUACGGGAAACUGUAGCUAUACCGCGUAGAAUCGAGAGAUGAAAGUGUGGGACCUUCGGGCCACAUGCCAUAGGAUGAGCCCAAGUGGGAUUAGGUAGUUGGUGAGGUAAAGGCUCACCAAGCCGACGAUCUCUAGCUGGUCUGAGAGGAUGACCAGCCACACUGGGACUGAGACACGGCCCAG
This 221-nucleotide ribosomal RNA is filed under the name uncultured bacterium. RNAcentral describes it as "partial 16S ribosomal RNA". It matches the Rfam family "Bacterial small subunit ribosomal RNA", at positions 109 to 334 of the family's 1533-position model. The record is from RNAcentral.